Drosophila obscura is the source of this 1260-nucleotide RNA transcript. RefSeq lists it as uncharacterized. The record is from RefSeq and is a predicted model, not a curated record. The transcript has 2 exons. NCBI's taxonomy places the organism in Eukaryota, Metazoa, Arthropoda, Insecta, Diptera, Drosophilidae.
UCCAGCCACAUGUGGCCGCGCAACAUUUUCAAUUUCCGAGCAACUUUUGAGGGCGGGCAUAUUUGAAUUGAACGUCCUUGCGCCACGAACGUGAUUAAACAUGUUCGACUAAACGGCCUUCACCAUUCGAGCAGCGCGGGUUGCGUGUCCUUUGAAAAGUUUCCUAAAACACGCGCGGAACUUUUGCACCGCCGCCGGCGCUGUUUUUAAGCGCUAAUAAAUAAUAAAAAUAAACGAGUGCGAGUGCGUUUAGUUGUUUAGUGUUUAGUUUCUGUCCCCCCCGCCCAACACCAAAAAUACAAAACAAAAGUGAAAUAUUAAUGGAUCUGGUGGAUGUGAUCACGCGCUUAAGGACUCUUCCCCCCUGGAAUAACUUGUCCCAGUUUUAAGAUCUUUUUAUCGCUUGAAUGUGACCAGUGCAAGCAACAAAAAUAAACAACAACAACAAGGAUCCCUAUUCAAAUCCCUGUUCCCUGCAUCUUUGCUUUCUUUUGCGUUACUUUCGUUUGUCGCGUUACUUUUCCCCCGUUACUUUCGUUUUCGUGCGCGUCUUACUGCCGCGGCGGCUUUUCUAAUGCAUCAGCGGGAAACUGCACUGGAUUUCCAAUAGCUGCGAUUACUGCAUACUCCAGCCACCUUUUUUCUAUAGGACACAAACGAAAAUGGAUUAAAACAACGCUUCCAAUCAAAGGAUUUGAGGAUACAACAACAAAAACAUCAAUUAUAUUCUGGCAAAAUUUUGGGGAAAAAUUUUUCCCGUUUUGGCUAACAAUCAAAAUUACAAAAAAAAAUAGAAAACAACUUGGAAACCAAAAAAAUAAAAUGAAUUAAAAAUCAUAGAAAAUAAUUGACAAAAUAUCUAAUAUUCUAAGAAUUAAGGCCAACAACAACAACCCGCUAAUGUUUAUGUAAUUCUUAAGAAUCCAGAACCCAAAACAAACAAACAAACGGAAGACAAAGAUUUUUAAGCCUACGAAUUAAGUACAAUCUACAUUAAAAGAUAUUUAAUAUAAUGCAAAAAACUUCACUUAACAAAAAUCUGCAACUAUUUUUAUAAUCAACAACAAAAAACAACAAAAAGUAAAACGAAGGAAGAAAAACCAACAAAACAAACAUAGUACAAAGGAUUCAUCAAUUUUACAAAAAGCAACAACAACAAAUAUCAAAACAAGAGCAACACUUAAUCAAUAACAAAAAAAAAAUCUAUAAAUAUAUAUCUUAAAAAUACCAACAAAAAGAAAAACAACAACAACAACGCAU